UACGUAGGGCGCAAGCGUUGUCCGGAAUUAUUGGGCGUAAAGAGCUCGUAGGCGGUUUGUCACGUCGGAUGUGAAAACUCGGGGCUUAACCCCGAGCCUGCAGUGGAUACGGGCAGACUAGAGGUAGGUAGGGGAGAAUGGAAUUCCCGGUGUAGCGGUGAAAUGCGCAGAUAUCGGGAGGAACACCGGUGGCGAAGGCGGUUCUCUGGGCCUUACCUGACGCUGAGGAGCGAAAGCGUGGGGAGCGAACAGG
RNAcentral lists this ribosomal RNA (253 nucleotides) under uncultured bacterium. Its description in RNAcentral is "partial 16S ribosomal RNA". It matches the Rfam family "Bacterial small subunit ribosomal RNA", at positions 524 to 776 of the family's 1533-position model. The record is from RNAcentral.